GAUGAACGCUAGCUGGAGGCUUAAUACAUGCAAGUCGAGCGGGGAUUGGUAGACGAAUACCAAUUGAGAGCGGCGCACGGGUGAGUAACGCGUACACGACCUACCUCUGACAGGGGGAUAGCCCUGGGAAACUGGGAUUAAUACCGCAUAUUAUUCUGAUUAAUAAAGGAUUGGAAUGAAAGUUCAGGCGGUCAGAGAUGGGUGUGCGUCUGAUUAGCUAGUUGGUAGGGUAACGGCCUACCAAGGCGAUGAUCAGUAGGGGGCGUGAGAGCGUGGUCCCCCACACGGGUACUGAGACACGGACCCGACUCCUACGGGAGGCAGCAGUAAGGAAUAUUGGACAAUGGCCGAAAGGCUGAUCCAGCCAUCCAGCGUGCAGGAAGAAGGCCCUAUGGGUUGUAAACUGCUUUUCCCCGGGGCGAAUAACCCCCUCGCGAGGGGGAUGCCGGUACCGGGGAAUAAGGAUCGGCUAACUCCGUGCCAGCAGCCGCGGUAAACCUAGUCUACG
Molecule: ribosomal RNA, 508 nt
Filed under: uncultured bacterium
Lineage: Bacteria
Description: bacterial SSU rRNA
Rfam family: Bacterial small subunit ribosomal RNA
Source: RNAcentral